Molecule: ribosomal RNA, 432 nt
Filed under: Blastocystis sp.
Lineage: Eukaryota; Bigyra; Opalinata; Blastocystidae
Description: SSU rRNA
Rfam family: Eukaryotic small subunit ribosomal RNA
Source: RNAcentral
GUGUAAGUAUAAAUAAUUUUACUUUGAAACUGCGAAUGGCUCAUUAUAUCAGUUAUAGUUUAUUAGAAAUAUUUUACUACUUGGAUAACCGUAGUAAUUCUAGGGCUAAUACAUGANUAAANCCUCAACUUCGGAAGAGGUGUGUUUAUUAGUAUGAAAACCAUAUAUCUUCGGAUAUAAUAGUGAGUAAUAAUAACCUUUCAUAUCGUAUGUCGUAAGAUAACGAUAGUUCUUUCAAGUUUCUGCCCUAUCAGCUUUCGAUGGUAGUAUAUGGGACUACCAUGGCAGUAACGGGUAACGAAGAAUUUGGGUUCGAUUUCGGAGAGGGAGCCUGAGAGAUGGCUACCACAUCCAAGGAAGGCAGCAGGCGCGUAAAUUACCCAAUCCUGACAUAGGGAGGUAGUGACAAUAAAUCACAAUGCGGAACUUUUU